AAACAAGGUGGCGGCCACUACUUGGCGCAUAGCGAAAACACUGGGUAAACAUAGAGAAAAAACACCGGGUAAACGCCUGCAGGCAGGAUAAGUAGAAUCUCAAAACACAACUUUCGUGAUUUCUCGUUUAAACGCCCAACUUAUAACGAAUAUGCGCCUAACCCCCUUCUACCCCCAAAAUAUAUAAAGAUGGCAAACGCAAUAUUUAAGCACGCUUAGUCAUUUUCUUUUAUCGUAAACAAAAUACGUAUAUUUACUUUUAGUUCUUUUAAUUUCUUACUGGUUAUUUAACUUGGAUUCCUUAAAAUAUGAUACUGGAGAGAGACGACCUGACCUGAUGAUCUAAAAAAAAAGCGUCCAGGGUGCUAAAACGAGCAUUUAAGGUAUAUACAUUACCGUCGAAGGACUGGUGUUAGAAGACGGUCUUCAUAUUAGAUUACAAAGCGAAAAAUCCCAGAACGCGAGUUCCUUUAUUUGCUUUAAUAUAGUCAAUAAAAAACUGAAAUUUCAGAAUAUAGUAGAUAAAGUAUCGGUCUAUUAUAAUCCUGAGAUUCAAGGGCUUAGCUUAAAUAAUAGGCGAUUACAAGCUUUCGAGGUGAGACCAACUUAGCCCUGUAUAACUCUUGAACGACGGGAUGGCACCACAAUAACAUGGGGUACCCCUGAAAGUUUUCCAAAUAUGGGAUGGAUCACGCAACAAAUCUAUUGUUUUAAGUCUCUGGAGCAUAGUAAGAGGCCUUAACCUCCCCUCGAGGCGACUUUCCUUCCAUUUCGAAUUCAAGAAGAAUUCAAACGUGGAAAAUUAAAGUUCACAGAAAAGUCAGGCAAGGAAACUGAAACACCAAGCUCGCUGUCUCUGGACGAAGAUGUCAGGGAGAAAACUGCAGUAACACCUGAGGUCCAAAUCUAAAGACAUGGGAUACCCGUACACCGACAACUCACGGAUAGAUAGUCCGGGUCUCAAUAGAAGCAACUUGCACCUCAAAAAAGGACACACCACAAAAACUGAACAAGAAGAGAGGACCGCCGCUAAAGAUACUGGUUUCCAAAAUUUUGACAUUCAGGUCCAUACCAGGAAACAUUUGUCCGAGAUGAUGUUGGGAGGAUUAAGGAUGUCAUUCCCAAAGGAAAUCCUCUAAAAGACCUAGGUGUGAAGCAAACUAUCAAACAGUUGUGCAAACGGGCAAAAUGGCCAACUGCAAAUGAUGUACGGCUUGGGAUGAGGCCAUAUGAACCCAAGAAAGCCCCACCGUUUGCAGUAAAGGAUCUCCUCCGAAUGCCGAAUUACUGCUAUAAAAGUGUUGAGGGCCUUAGAGGAUUGUGGCUGUGGACCAUAACUAUUUUUUCAUUUGCCUGUUUCACCGUGGAGAAGAGCCUCUUCGCCUCAAGAUAAAGCAUAUAAAGCUACCUCCACAUUAUGAUGUGAAAUCUGGUAAAAUUCCUAACAGACAGCUGACAGCUGACAGACAGGCAGAAGGCAGACGCCCUGCAUCAGAAACAUCAAAAUGACAUUGCAUUUUGGCAUUUAAGAAACAUGGUCUGAGCACAACCGUAGAUUGCUAUGGCACAGAAGGUGCGAGUGUAGCCUUUGUUGGGCACGAGGGUUUAAAGCCUGCCAUGAACUUGGAAAAAUGGUUAAAAAAUGUUCGAGACCUUUAUGGAAGGUGAAACUAAGCAAUGGGAGGAAACAAAACAUGGAACCCCUGGUCCAUGUACCACCUCCUUGGACCACCCCUGAAACUGUUUAAAAGCUGAGUAAAAAUGAAUUUCUGUGAAUAAAUCUGGCACAUUAAGAGACCAUAAAUGUCUGUUACAGUCCAAUAUUUAAUAUAACAGCGGUCUAUGUGCCUUUAGCACCUUGGAACAUUAUCCACUGAUCAUCCUAAUGAAGGGUAUUAGAAGAAUAUAUGUUGUAGGGGUGUGAAGAAUUUUCCCACACGAACCCGUUCUCACAUAUCCUUUAUAAAGAGUUUGCUAUUUGUCUUUCUCUUCUCAAGUCAAACUUUUUCACUUCCUACAUAAUUGAUCUUGACACAAAAAAAUUCAUAUCAAAAUUUGUGUCCACUCUUUUGUCAAUUUAAUUUAAUUCAAAGCUUUAUUUCCAUUUACAAGUUUUAGUUUUUGAAUUUAUAGUAACAAAAAUGCUUGGAUCAUUUUCUAUGAUGCCAGAAGUUGUUGUUACUAUAAAUAACAACUGGUUUUCCAAAUGACCUUAACAUUAGUCGCAAAAAUGACUGACAAUGUUGAGGAAAAUGAUCAGUUGAACAAAUGAUCCAUACAAAUGCAAUAUCAAGGCAAGCUGUAUGAUACCAACCGUUUUUUUUUUGUUAUUUGUAGUGGCCCACAGGUAAUUUUCAAGAAUUGCUUACUGUUUCUAAACUUGUGUGCUAUCUGCUCGUUUUAUGUCCAUAAUGUUCAACGCUUGCAAUCGUAAUUUAAUUUUAUUGACCAUCAUUACAUAAAAACAAUAUAUAGAUUUAGGCACUGCCUAAAAGCGGAGUCAGCAUGACUUUUUUCAGCAUAAACUUGUGUAGAACCCCCCUUCCCUGCAAUUUCAUUAUGCAUCAUGUUCCACCACCCACAAAAAGGCACCAUAUGUAAAACAUAUAAAGAUUGCAUGUUCUAUAAAUAUUGCAAUUAUUAUUAAAAGGUGUCCUCCCAAUCCUCAUAGGGAAUACCUAGAACAAAUAUGUUUUUUUUUUGUUUUAGGUAAAAAAAAGUAUUUAUUGAUAUUACUAAGGAUAUCAUUAACUAAACUAUACUUGAUAGACAACUGAUACAGCAAAAUUAGCAAAAUAAAUUUAUGCUUUGAUUUACAGGGAAGGCUUUCAGGUAUGAAGGGAGGUCAUACUGUAUUUGUUUUAACAUGAGGAUCAAUUAAAGUUCUUCACACAAAAA
This is an RNA transcript of Nematostella vectensis (starlet sea anemone), 2898 nucleotides long. RefSeq lists it as uncharacterized. The record is from RefSeq and is a predicted model, not a curated record. Lineage: Eukaryota; Metazoa; Cnidaria; Anthozoa; Actiniaria; Edwardsiidae. The transcript is spliced from 8 exons.